Molecule: ribosomal RNA, 402 nt
Filed under: uncultured Candidatus Cardinium sp.
Lineage: Bacteria; Pseudomonadati; Bacteroidota; Cytophagia; Cytophagales; Amoebophilaceae
Description: bacterial SSU rRNA
Rfam family: Bacterial small subunit ribosomal RNA
Source: RNAcentral
UGGCUCACCAAAGGCUACGAUGGGUAGGGGUUCUUAGUGGAAGGUCCCCCACACUGGCACUGAGAUACGGGCCAGACUCCUACGGGAGGCAGCAGUAGGGAAUAUUGGUCAAUGGGCGCAAGCCUGAACCAGCCAUGCCGAGUGCAGGAUGAAGGCUCUCUGAGUUGUAAACUGCUUUUGUACAGGAGCAAAAAAGCCCCUGCGGGGGCUCUUGAGAGUACUGUAAGAAUAAGCACCGGCUAAUUCCGUGCCAGCAGCCGCGGUAAUACGGAAGGUGCAAGCGUUAUCCGGUUUUAUUGGGUUUAAAGGGUGCGUAGGCGGCUUAUUAAGUCAGUUGUGAAAUCCUAGUGCUUAACGCUAGAACUGCGAUUGAUACUAUUAGGCUUGAGUUAAGAAUAGGUA